Durio zibethinus is the source of this 1992-nucleotide RNA transcript. It is a transcript of the gene named carbamoyl phosphate synthase arginine-specific large chain, chloroplastic-like, with no coding region annotated. The record is from RefSeq and is a predicted model, not a curated record. Lineage: Eukaryota; Viridiplantae; Streptophyta; Magnoliopsida; Malvales; Malvaceae.
UGUUGAUAUUCGAUUUCCCUAAUUCUCCCAUGAAACCAACAUGAUUAUAAUAUAUAUGAUAGAAAACUAAACAAAAAUUAUACCUUUAAGUUAUUAGUUCACUUCAAAAAAGAAAAAAACAAGUUUCUGUUCAAAGGAGCUGGCUUUGCCCAAUUCCAAAUAGAAAGCAGAGAUUUGAUCCUGCCUUGGGUCAGGACUCGGGGCCAAUGAGAUUGGGAAGUUUUCUUUGUUUGAUUAGCAGGCUUGCUUUUGCGCUUGGGUGGGAUUCUGUAGAAUUAAGGAGUGGAGGCCAUUAGUAAGGUGGGGGAUAGCAGGGUUUUUGUUUUAGCUUCCAAAGCUAUUGGAGUUUUGGAAUAAGCAAAAAUGGCUGCUGAGUUGUCAACUGUGUAUUCGUUGGAUCAGAUUCUGCAUGAUAUCCGUUAUGCGGUGACUAAGUUGUAGGUGUUCUUAAUGUUAUUGAUUUGGAUCUAUCCAAUGGCAUCUUUUUCUGGUCUGGUUGGAGGUCAAACUCUCAUGAUGUUGACUUCAGCUAUCCGGCAUUAUUUAGAUGUUGUACAAACCUUUAUGUGCCAAUGGGACCGCACAUGUAGCCAUCUGGGGCUUUUUUUUGAGUUCAGUAGAUGCAGCUGAAGACACAGAGUCAAUGCUAUCCUUAAGGAGUUAAGGAUUGAGCUACCAAAAGGGUUUAUGGAAAAGAAUAAAGAUAAUUCCCUUUCCAUUCUACUCAGAUAUAUUGAUUAAAAUCUUGUCACAGAAUGCUGUUGAGAGGUUUUCCCAAAACAACCUGAACUGAUUGAGAAGUAUUUCUCUGAUGCUGUUGACUGGAUGGAGAUGUUAUUCUCAUGUUGGGUAGAUUGGCGAAAUAUGCUGCUGCACUUGUUAUGGCUUUUAAGCUGGUGAUCCACUGAUCUAAGUUUCAGGAAAGAGGCCAUGCCACAACAUGUCAGUCAAGAAAGCUGCUCUUUCCUUUUGUAGCAGCACCAAGGCUACAAUGUGUUGUUGGGUCCUGAAAUGAACUUCUGAGAUCGUGGUAUUGAUUUUUUGUUUGCUAUGAUGCUUUGCCAAUACUCAAAUUGCUGCAAGGCAGAGGCUAUAUCACUGGCCAACAAUGUGUUCCUUGGCUUAAAUGCUUUAACAAAUCCCUAUCUUCAAAGUAUUCAAAAGGCUUUCUAAUGGAUAAGAUUCCAGAUUUUUCUGACAUCUGGAAUUGCUCAUUUUCUCAAGCUAAAAGGCAUUCCAGUCCACUGGAAUAAGCAUUGAAGAUUCAUGUACAAUGGCCAGUCCUUUGACAUUGUUGCUAGUGGGCAGAUCAAUUUGAUGAUAAUGGCAAUCUCUGGUGAUGCACUUGGUCAGAUUGAUUGCCAACAAUUAAAGAGAAUGGCACUUGCUCUCAAGUUUCCUUUGAUGAAAACAGUUAAUAUAGCUUUGGCCAGUUCAGAGGUAAGUAGGAGCUUGAAGUCAUACACCAUUUACAUGUUUACUCUUCAGGACUUUCAUUUUCAUUGCCAUUUGAACAGCUUGAUAAUAGGUUUGCUUUUGAGCCCUUUACUCUUAACCUAGCUCUAUCUCUAGCCCUGCCCUAUGAAAAGAAAAGGAUAACCUAGUUCAUUCAUAACCUACUUUUUUUUUAAGUAUCUUCCACUGAAAUACAUAUCUCUAGUUAGACAUCUUUGAUGAUGAGUUCAAGGCAGGGAGGAGCAAAAGCUUGCUGUGUGCCACUUCCUCUCCAUGGAUUGAUAGGUAUUUCUGAUAAGCAAUUUAUAUUUUCCUCCUCCUUUUGAUGUUUCUUGAACAUGUUUUCAUUAGCCUUGCCAAAUAAUUUUGUACUGAGUUUUUCCUUUCUCACUUUCUUGCUCUUUAAUCAUUUCUUCUCUUGUGUGAGCUGAUGUGACAAAUUUUGGAAUGUAAUGUAGGUAAUUUUUAAGAACUAAGAAAUAUAGUUAACAAUCAAAUACCUGUGUAACAUGAUAUGUUGCAAUUAUGAGGUGAUUG